Molecule: long non-coding RNA, 1271 nt
Filed under: Bos taurus (domestic cattle)
Lineage: Eukaryota; Metazoa; Chordata; Mammalia; Artiodactyla; Bovidae
Description: long non-coding RNA NONBTAT006782
Source: RNAcentral
UUAUGCACUUGCUAUUCAGUAUUCAUAAGGUGGCAUGCUUGAUUCUCAUUGUUUUUAAAGAUAAGAAAAUUGGAGAGAGAAUACCAUUAUGUCAACUGUAUAGGACUCUGAAUCUUAAAGAUGUAGAUGGAUAUAAUCUUCUUUAGAAUUUAUAUACACCCAUAGAUAUGUAUUUAUAUAUGCAUACAUUUUGUACAAAUUUACAAUGGACUUUUUGUAUUCUCUUUUCUGUCAUUACAAGAAUGAGAUGGAAACCAAAUAGUUGUUCCAUCCUCUUAUCCAGAGAGGAUACUGAGAAGUUGGGUAUAUGCAUGCACUUAUUUCUCUGGAGUUAAAUCUGAAUGACUUUCUCUUUAUUUAAUGAAAGGGGAGAGUUCUGUUUGACUCGGGGGAAUUGGUAAUUAGAUAAGCUUCCUUUCCUUGUUAGUGACUCAAAUGUAGCAAUGAUACUGAAUUUAUGACCAUAUCUAUGUGGUCUGAAUAUCUAGAUGGAAAACAAAAAUACCUAGAAGAGAUUUAGGGCCAUCUAGACCACAAACCUGGAUUGUGGCUCAAUUUUUAAUUUUCAGCCUAUAUGUGGUGUGGAGAUACAAUUUAUAUCUGCAUAGCUAAAGGUAAAGUGAAAAUAUGACCAUUAUCUGUUUAGUUUGAUAAGUAGUAUUUGGAAAAUAUGGAUAAAGUAGCUUUAAAAAACUUUGGCAUCUGACUUUUUCCACUGUUUCUAUCUAUAUCAAUUUAAUUAAUUAGAUAAUGGUUAAAAUUCCAUUUUCCAUUGUGCAGGCAUGCUUUAAAUGCUUUUCUGUGGGUGACAGUUGAGCAAUUGCUAGCUGAUAUUAUGUGGAUGUUGUAGGUUAAAUUAGAACCAGAAGCUUAAUCUGGUCAGGCUCCUCAGGUCCAUUCCCAUGUGAAUCUGGACUUUGAGUCUAAAUCUGAAAAGCCACUCAUCUGGGCUAUUCUUUUUUGGAACUAGUGUUUGUGGCUCAUAGAUGUUUUAGUUUACAUUAGGAUAAAUUGACCUAUCUACUGAAGGAUACUUAAUCAUUGAAUUGAACGUAAAUCUUAUUCUGAUUUGUUUUUUAUUUAUUUGAUAACAUUUGAGAAACAGUUUCAAUGGCUUGAAAUCAAUACUUAUUAAUGUCACCAACCUAAUAAUACAAUUGGUGCCAUGUAGGAAUGCUUAGCUUAGGAUAGAAUUUAAUUAGCUUUAAUUAGGGACAUGUCUUAUUAAGAUGGUCCUAUCUGUGUGAGGGAGGGGCAUGUGAUUUCACUGG